RNAcentral lists this ribosomal RNA (119 nucleotides) under Pteropus alecto (black flying fox). Lineage: Eukaryota; Metazoa; Chordata; Mammalia; Chiroptera; Pteropodidae. The record is from RNAcentral.
GUCUGCAGCCCUGCCACCCUGAAGGUGCCUGAUCUCGUCUGAUCUCGGAAGCUAAGCAGGUUUGGUCCUGGUUAGUACUUGGAUGAGAGACCACCCAGGAAUACCAGGUGCUGUAGGAG